AUCCUUCGUUCGGACGCUUAAGUUUUACGGAGGUCGUUGCAUGGUUGUCGUCAGCUCGUGCCGUGAGGUGUCGGGUUAAGUCCCAUAACGAGCGCAACCCCUACCUUUAGUUGCCAUCAGGUUAAGCUGGGGACUCUAAAGGAACUGCCUACGCAAGUAGUGAGGAAGGCGGGGAUGACGUCAAAUCAGCACGGCCCUUACGUCCAGGGCUACACACGUGCUACAAUGGCCGAUACAGAGGGCAGCUACCUGGUGACAGGAUGCAAAUCUCCAAAGUCGGUCUCAGUUCGGAUCGGAGUCUGCAACCCGACUCCGUGAAGUUGGAUUCGCUAGUAAUCGCGCAUCAGCCACGGCGCGGUGAAUACGUUCCCGGGCCUU
This 378-nucleotide ribosomal RNA is filed under the name uncultured Sphingobacteriales bacterium. RNAcentral's name for it is "bacterial SSU rRNA". It matches the Rfam family "Bacterial small subunit ribosomal RNA", at positions 1006 to 1382 of the family's 1533-position model. The record is from RNAcentral. Lineage: Bacteria; Pseudomonadati; Bacteroidota; Sphingobacteriia; Sphingobacteriales.